Molecule: non-coding RNA, 29 nt
Filed under: Mus musculus (house mouse)
Lineage: Eukaryota; Metazoa; Chordata; Mammalia; Rodentia; Muridae
Source: RNAcentral
UAACACGUGAAGGUAAACCAGACCGUUGG